CGUAGCGUUGGUACGUGCUUUGGUGCAGGGCCUCUUCUCGAGCGCUGAUUUCCAGGGUGCUGUUCCAGAUGCCAUAUCCAAAAUAAAUCAGCAGACCUGUGGGGCCAGGGGAAAGAUAAGUAAACUGAGGCCCAAAGAAGUUAAGUAAAUUUCCUAAAGUCACAAGACAAAGGAGGGGCGGAGCUGUGAUUUGAAGUUGGUGCUGUUUGACUCCAAAGGCUGUCAGCUUCUUUGCGCAAGGACUGAGUCAUCUCUGCAUUCUCAGCACCUGGUGCAAUUUAAGCAGAAAUAUCGUGAAGAUUUUUCGUGUCUUCAGGGAGAUUAGGAAUGGGAAUGGAAUGGGAACGCCAAUGCAGGAAGGAUGAGAAGAGAGUGUCUGCAGAUCUGAUAAUAGUUGUAAAAUAACAUGGCCACACUGAGAUAGAGGGAAGGUUAAGGCUCCUUGAACUUACUUAAAUUGGUGGCAGCACGAGCUUUCAGCAUCAUGGCCAGCAUGACCAAGCCAUUUCCCUGGUGUUCCCCUCAGCAUGAAACAUCUGUCUACUUAUUUCUUUGCUGAGCCUGAAUGGAAUAUUCCAUCUCUGAAAAAUAAACUUUGUGUUUAAAUUGAAAUCUUUAUUCCUAUCUGGCAAAUUGACUAUAUAUCCUCAACAAUUGGAAGGAAGUGAUGUAUCUGCUGCCAUCAGCUACAAAGCACUGGACGCCCACAGUGCUAUUUAUUAGAUUUACAUGAAUUCCAGGUGAAUCUGAUCCAGUGGCUACAAAAACAGAUCUGAUACUUCUAUAAGCCUGGCACCUAAAUCAGUUUCUGAUUGAAAUGAGUACAGGCAAGCUCUGAGGCAGCUCUAUCCAGGGCUAUGAUAAGAAUGAGGUGAACACAUUUUACCCUACAUGGAAAUGUCCAUUCCGACAAGUGCUAAUUUGACAAUGGUAAUGAUUACUAUGGGUUGAAUUGGAUUAUCCCAAAAGAUAUGUUAAAGCCCUAACCGCUGGUUCCUAUAAAUGUGAUUGUAUUUGGAAAUAGGGUGGAUGCAGAUAUAAUUAGUUAACAUACUGGAGUAGGGUGGAUCUUUAAUUAAAUAAAACUGAUGUCUUUGUAAGAAGAGAAGAGACACAGACACAGACGGAAGAUGACCAUGUGAAGAUGGAGGCAGAGAUUGAAAUUAUGCUGCCACAAGCCAAGGAACUCUUGGGGCUACCAGAAGCUGGACAACGGCAAGGGAGAAUUGCCUGUAGAGCUUUGAAGGGGACAUAGCUCUUCUAUCAGCUUGAUUUCAGAAUUCCUGCCUCCAGAACUGCGAGACAAAAAAGCUCUGUUGUUUUAAGCCACCUAGUUUGCAUUACUUUGUUAUGGCAGCCCUUGAAAAUUAACAAUGAUUAUAAUAGUAAUAUGAAUAAUAGCAACAGCAUCUCAUUUAUUGUUUUCUAUAUGUUAAUAACAAUUCCAAGUGCUUUAUACAUAUUAACUUAUGGGCUUUAGGAUCUCAUUUUACAGAUGAGGAAGCAAGUAGAGAAAGCAAAAGAAAGACAUUGAAACGUGCAACGGGGAAAUCUGUUUCCGUAUAAAUAAAACAAACCAUCUGAGGAGCCUU
RNAcentral lists this small RNA (1592 nucleotides) under Pongo abelii (Sumatran orangutan). Its description in RNAcentral is "processed transcript". The record is from RNAcentral. Lineage: Eukaryota; Metazoa; Chordata; Mammalia; Primates; Hominidae.